RNAcentral lists this ribosomal RNA (497 nucleotides) under uncultured bacterium. RNAcentral's name for it is "partial 16S ribosomal RNA". It matches the Rfam family "Bacterial small subunit ribosomal RNA", at positions 28 to 507 of the family's 1533-position model. The record is from RNAcentral.
GAUGAACGCUGGCGGCGUGCCUAAUACAUGCAAGUCGAGCGAACGGACGAGAAGCUUGCUUCUCUGAUGUUAGCGGCGGACGGGUGAGUAACACGUGGAUAACCUACCUAUAAGACUGGGAUAACUUCGGGAAACCGGAGCUAAUACCGGAUGAUAUUUUGAACCGCAUGGUUCAAAAGUGAAAGACGGUCUUGCUGUCACUUAUAGAUGGAUCCGCGCUGCAUUAGCUAGUUGGUAAGGUAACGGCUUACCAAGGCAACGAUGCAUAGCCGACCUGAGAGGGUGAUCGGCCACACUGGAACUGAGACACGGUCCAGACUCCUACGGGAGGCAGCAGUAGGGAAUCUUCCGCAAUGGGCGAAAGCCUGACGGAGCAAAGCCGCGUGAGUGAUGAAGGUCUUCGGAUCGUAAAACUCUGUUAUUAGGGAAGAACAUAUGUGUAAGUAACUGUGCACAUCGUGACGGUACCUAAUCAGAAAGCCACGGCUAACUACGUG